Molecule: long non-coding RNA, 898 nt
Organism: Lycium barbarum (goji berry)
Lineage: Eukaryota; Viridiplantae; Streptophyta; Magnoliopsida; Solanales; Solanaceae
Exons: 3
Source: RefSeq, a predicted model, not a curated record
GGCUUUUUCCUUCUUCUCUCUUUCCUUCUCAGUUUCCUCUCUUCUUCAGGUUUUGUUAUUUAUAUCACUAAGAACUCUUCUUCUUCUUCUUCUUCUUUGACUUCAAGAUCUCUCAUAUCUGGGCUUACACUAAUUUAAGUCUUAGCCAUGGGUGGUGGUGGUGAUCACAAAGAGAAGACCACUAUAAUGGUGCCCAAGGUUGAUCUUUAGUGCCCUUGCUGCUACAAGAAGACCAAGAAAAUUCUCUGCAAAAUCCCCCAAGUUAGAAACCAGUUGUAUGAUGAAAAGGCAAAUACUGUCACUAUUACUGUAGUGUGCUGCAGUCCUGAAAGGAUUCGUGACAAAUUGUGUUGUAAAGGAGGAAAAACGAUCAAGAGCAUUGAGAUCAAAGAGCCCGCGAAGCCCAAGGAGCCCGAGCAGAAGAAGCCUCCUUCUGACAGGCAAGUUCCUCCUAGUAGUUCGAAAGGGGCUGAGACAUCCGGGGCUCUUGAUAAGCAAAAGGACGGUCGUACAGCUGCGAUGGUGGCAACACCGUGGAUGUCAGAGCCAAUGAUGAUUAUGCCGCCAGUCCAAGGAUACCCUCAGGCAGCACAUGGAUGUGGUUGCGAGCAAUGUUACUAUACGGGGGGCCCGUGUUAUCAGUCUUACGGAACGACAGCACCGCCACAGCCCGCCCCAUAUUACAGUAACUACUCAUAUAGUUAUGGGCCUGGGUCUGGCCCAUCUAGCUAUGGAAAGGGCUGAUGAGAAUGCUCAAGGAUGUAUAAUUAUGUAAAUGUGACCCAAUUAGUGUGGGUCACUGAAUAGGGCCUUCUUUGUGCUUUUUCUUGGGCUUUUGCAAAAUGUCCAUAACAAAGUUUUGGGCUUUACGUUUGACUACUUAACUUUUUGAAGAAAA